UACGUAGGUUGCGAGCGUUAAUCGGAAUUACUGGGCGUAAAGCGUGCGCAGGCGGUGUGCUGUGUCCGAUGUGAAAGCCCCGGGCUCAACCUGGGAACCGCGCUUGAGACUGGCAUGCUCGAGUUCGGGAGAGGAUGGUGGAAUUCCCAGUGUAGAGGUGAAAUUCGUAGAUAUUGGGAAGAACACCGAUGGCGAAGGCAGCCAUCUGGACCGACACUGACGCUGAGGCGCGAAAGCGUGGGGAGCAAACAGG
Molecule: ribosomal RNA, 253 nt
Filed under: uncultured bacterium
Lineage: Bacteria
Description: partial 16S ribosomal RNA
Rfam family: Bacterial small subunit ribosomal RNA
Source: RNAcentral